UACGGGGGGGGCAAGCGUUGUUCGGAAUUACUGGGCGUAAAGGGCUCGUAGGCGGCCAACUAAGUCAGACGUGAAAUCCCUCGGCUUAACCGGGGAACUGCGUCUGAUACUGGAUGGCUUGAGUUCGGGAGAGGGAUGCGGAAUUCCAGGUGUAGCGGUGAAAUUCGUAGAUAUUCGGAGGAACACCAGAAGCGAAGGCGGCUCACUGGCCCGAUACUGACGCUGAGGCGCGAAAGCGUGGGGAGCAAACAGG
RNAcentral lists this ribosomal RNA (253 nucleotides) under uncultured bacterium. RNAcentral describes it as "partial 16S ribosomal RNA". It matches the Rfam family "Bacterial small subunit ribosomal RNA", at positions 524 to 776 of the family's 1533-position model. The record is from RNAcentral.